RNAcentral lists this ribosomal RNA (484 nucleotides) under uncultured bacterium. RNAcentral's name for it is "partial 16S ribosomal RNA". It matches the Rfam family "Bacterial small subunit ribosomal RNA", at positions 30 to 507 of the family's 1533-position model. The record is from RNAcentral.
AUUGAACGCUGGCGGCAGGCCUAACACAUGCAAGUCGAGCGGAUGAAGGGAGCUUGCUCCUGGAUCCCGCGGCGGACGGGUGUGUAAUGCCUAGGAAUCUGCCUGGUAGUGGGGUAUAACGUCCGGAAACGGGCGCUAAUACCGCAUACGUCCUGAGGGAGAAAGUGGGGGAUCUUCGGACCUCACGCUAUCAGAUGAGCCUAGGUCGGAUUAGCUAGUUGGUGGGGUAAAGGCCUACCAAGCCGACGAUCCGUAACUGGUCUGAGAGGAUGAUCAGUCACACUGGAACUGAGACACGGUCCAGACUCCUACGGGAGGCAGCAGUGGGGAAUAUUGGACAAUGGGCGAAAGCCUGAUACAGCCAGGCCGCGUGUGUGAAGAAGGUCUUCGGAUUGUAAAGCACUUUAAGUUGGGAGGAAGGGCAGUAAGUUGAUACCUUGCUGUUUUGACGGUACCAACAGAAUAAGCACCGGCUAACUUCGUG